Molecule: ribosomal RNA, 455 nt
Filed under: uncultured bacterium
Lineage: Bacteria
Description: bacterial SSU rRNA
Rfam family: Bacterial small subunit ribosomal RNA
Source: RNAcentral
GCAGUGGGGAAUAUUGCACAAUGGGGGAAACCCUGAUGCAGCCAUGCCGCGUCGUGUGAAGAAGGACCUUCGGGUUGUAAAGCAACUUUCAGUAGGGAGGAAGGUAGUGUAGUUAACACCUGCAUUAUUUGACGUUACCUACAGAAGAAGCACCGGCUAACUCCGUGCCAGCAGCCGCGGUAAUACGGAGGGUGCGAGCGUUAAUCGGAAUUACUGGGCGUAAAGCGCAUGCAGGCGGCCUGUUAAGUCAGAUGUGAAAGCCCGGGGCUUAACCUCGGAAUUGCAUUUGAAACUGGCAGGCUAGAGUCUUGUAGAGGGGGGUAGGAAUUUCAGGUGUAGCGGUGAAAUGCGUAGAGAUCUGAAGGAAUACCAGUGGCGAAGGCGGCCCCCUGGACAAAGACUGACGCUCAGAUGCGAAAGCGUGGGGAGCAAACAGGAUUAGAUACCCCUGGUAG